CAGUCGCCGCGGGAAUACAGAGGAUGCAAGCGUUAAUCGGAAUUACUGGGCGUAAAGCGUGCGCAGGCGGUUAUAUAAGUCAGAUGUGAAAUCCCCGGGCUCAACCUGGGAACUGCAUUUGAGACUGUAUGGCUAGAGUGUGUCAGAGGGGGGUAGAAUUCCACGUGUAGCAGUGAAAUGCGUAGAUAUGUGGAGGAAUACCGAUGGCGAAGGCAGCCCCCUGGGAUAACACUGACGCUCAUGCACGAAAGCGUGGGGAGCAAACAGGAUUAGAUACCCCCGUAGUCCCUGUCUCUUAUAC
RNAcentral lists this ribosomal RNA (301 nucleotides) under uncultured bacterium. Its description in RNAcentral is "partial 16S ribosomal RNA". It matches the Rfam family "Bacterial small subunit ribosomal RNA", at positions 509 to 807 of the family's 1533-position model. The record is from RNAcentral.